GCGUCCGAAAUCGCGUACUUCCAUACUAUAUAGUAUGCGAAAAACAGUACGCGAGCAGAGUAGUAUGUCCGAAUUCAUAGAAUUCGAAAAACAGUAGGCGAGAAGUACCCGGAUGGCCUACUACUUCCGGCGAGAUUCUGAAGUGCGCAUACGAUGGACACUUUACUAUCCCAUGAUGCCACGGGAGAGGAGGAGUUGUCGUUAUAUUUGAAAAUGCCGGAAACCGGAGACGCGGGAGUUUUCCACUGUAUAUGGAGUUUUCAAGUGCAUGUUUACAAGACGAGGCAAGGAUACCCACCAUCUCCAAGGAUGCACUAUCCUGCAGAUGGAAACAGGCGGCCAGUGCACACAGGGCUGUUCUUCAGCACCCGGGCAUCGUGCACCGACCCAAGAUACCCAACAAAAAUGUCGAGGAACUUCCCCUUGUGGUCAGUGAUGGCCUGCAGCUGAAAAUAAUUAAACAGCUUUCUGGUUGAAGUAGCACUGGACGUCACUUGCUAGUGGUUUGAUGCGGAUGUGACAGCCAUUUAUUGCACCAGCUACUACACUGACAGCUGGAGACCCUGCCAGCUGGGUAAAACCUGCUCCCACUGCCUCCUGGUCAUCUGCACUGGGGAAAGCGAUAACCUGUCUCAAAGUGCCGAUGACUGCCUUGCUCAUUCUGUGCAUAAUGUCGUGCACAGCAGACUACGGGAUGUCAUAGACGAGUGACACUACCCGGUAUGAUGCUGCAUGGGCCAGCCAGUAAAGGAACACCAGCACCUCGACGUCCUUUUCCCACCCAUGGUUGCAAUCUGCUUUCACUACAGCAAUCAGGGACUGGAUGGACUGCCGUGAAAGUCGGGAGGCUGCUGUGCCAAUUCUUCGGCUGCACUUUGAAGAUGGAGCUGACCUCCACCCCGGUCCGCUCCUCCACCCCGGCCGAAGGAUUGGCACAGCAGCAUUCACGUGGCAGUAGGUUGUAGGGCUCACAAUCUGUAAACAUUUAUAUAGUUUUAAUAUAAAAUACAAUUUGAAUCAA
Molecule: non-coding RNA, 1021 nt
Organism: Pimephales promelas (fathead minnow)
Lineage: Eukaryota; Metazoa; Chordata; Actinopteri; Cypriniformes; Leuciscidae
Source: RefSeq, a predicted model, not a curated record